AUGAUCAGCCACACUGGGACUGAGACACGGCCCAGACUCCUACGGGAGGCAGCAGUGGGGAAUCUUGCGCAAUGGGCGAAAGCCUGACGCAGCCAUGCCGCGUGAAUGAUGAAGGUCUUAGGAUUGUAAAAUUCUUUCACCGGGGACGAUAAUGACGGUACCCGGAGAAGAAGCCCCGGCUAACUUCGUGCCAGCAGCCGCGGUAAUACGAAGGGGGCUAGCGUUGCUCGGAAUUACUGGGCGUAAAGGGAGCGUAGGCGGACUGUUUAGUCAGAGGUGAAAGCCCAGGGCUCAACCUUGGAAUUGCCUUUGAUACUGGCAGUCUUGAGUACGGAAGAGGUAUGUGGAACUCCGAGUGUAGAGGUGAAAUUCGUAGAUAUUCGGAAGAACACCAGUGGCGAAGGCGACAUACUGGUCCGUUACUGACGCUGAGGCUCGAAAGCGUGGGGAGCAAACAGGAUUAGAU
This 466-nucleotide ribosomal RNA is filed under the name proteobacterium enrichment culture clone E60. RNAcentral describes it as "bacterial SSU rRNA". It matches the Rfam family "Bacterial small subunit ribosomal RNA", at positions 300 to 783 of the family's 1533-position model. Lineage: Bacteria; Pseudomonadati; Pseudomonadota. The record is from RNAcentral.